Molecule: long non-coding RNA, 700 nt
Organism: Pseudophryne corroboree (corroboree frog)
Lineage: Eukaryota; Metazoa; Chordata; Amphibia; Anura; Myobatrachidae
Exons: 3
Source: RefSeq, a predicted model, not a curated record
AAGAGCCAGCCCUGGGGACAGCCCAGCACCAUUGUCAGUGGGGGAGAACCCAGGAGCAGCAGCAGCCAAGGACCCAGGAGCAGCAGCAGCUGCAGCAGCUGAGGAUCCACUGGGAGCCUGACACAGCAGUAUGUGCUCCCAGUACUCCUGCAGUGCAUGGUGUAACCCAGCAACCGAAUACUACAAGGGUGACGGGACCACUAAAUACUGAUUAAGGGGAUCAUUCCGACCCAUUCGCACGCUGCAGUUCAAUGCGCAUCGCUAGCGCGAUCGAAAGAAGAUUGACAGCAAGGAGGCGUUCCGGGGUGGAUACUUUCCGUUUUCCGGGCUUGGAGAUCCGAACGCAGGCAUGUCCAGGCGUUUGGAGGGCAGUUGCCUGACGUCAAUUCCGGGACCUUCGUCGCUGGAUCCAUCGCACAGGACUUCAUAUCUGUGGACUACAGAGCCUGUCUCUCCAUGUCAGGAUGUCAGCGAAAUGCAGAAAAUGACCAGGGUGGACUCAUGGGAACAGCUGAUCUUAGAUAUGUAUGGUAAGGUUGAUCUCCUCAAGGACUAGUCUUGAAGGGAGCUGAAAGAGCCCAGAUCAGUCUUCUGACUGAUCACAUUGGUAACGUAAACACAGAUGCAGCACAAAAACAGACCAACCCUUAAAAAGGAAGUAUGCCAAAAACAUUACAAUUAGCACACAGCGAGGCACAGU